Molecule: long non-coding RNA, 1177 nt
Filed under: Anas platyrhynchos platyrhynchos (common mallard)
Lineage: Eukaryota; Metazoa; Chordata; Aves; Anseriformes; Anatidae
Description: lncRNA (ENSAPLG00000024155.1)
Source: RNAcentral
CAGCUGUGUGUCACUCAGCUCCCCUCCCCUUGAAUCCUGCCUUGUCUGUAGACUGGAGCUCUUAUCAGGUGCUUGCAAUUGCUUUCUGAUGUAUUCUGCUUGCUGACAGGCCUGUAAAUAGAAAUUUGUUUCUAAAGUGAAUCAAGAGCUGGUGGAAUUCGUCAGCAUGACACAUGGAGAAACAGCAUCUGCCUGUUGCCUGUGCUUCUGGUGUAGCACUGACAGUAUGUACGUGUGCCCUGCUCCAGGCAUCCUGCCUUCCUCCAGGCCUCUGUGGACUGCUGCUAAAUGGUGAGCAGCCUCCCAUCCGCACUUGUGCCAGGGGAGGCCUACCUGGCUUCCAGCAGCGCAACAUCGCAGUGGCCACCUCAUUUUGAAUUCCCUGGCCCAUGUGUUUGGGAUUUUGGACUAGAGUAGACACUGAUGGAAAUUUCUCUUACUUAACUUUCACAUGAAUGAUGAAAUUAGCGUGACGGGAUUCUGUGAGAGAGGUUUUUGCCUAAGUACAGACUAUCUAAAAUGGCAGUUAUCUCCCAAGGUCAUGACUUUCUUCUUCUACUGCUUCUUAUCCCCCAGGAUUUCUCUGUCGCCAUACCCACAAAUGCAUACAGAGAGAGGAGAAGGGUGCUCGGCAGUGCAAGGCCAUGCCUCUGGGUCUCCAUCCUUGCCUGACUCACCCCUGCACCGAUCAGCACUGAGUUCAUCAAUGAACUGAAAACAGAGUAAGUUAGUCACCAGAAGCACAUACAGCCUACUAGCCUUCAUCUUUGCAGAUGAGUUCAUGGAGCAUGAACUCUAUAAAUCUCAUUCUUUUGGGUGAGCUCCCAUCACAGGUCUGAAGAGGUCUGACAGCUACAUGCAGCAAGGUAAUCCUGUGCUCUCAUAUUAAAUGAAACUGCUGAAUCUGUCUCAGGCCAGAUCAAACAUUUCAGAUUCCAUAACUGCAUGCUCAACACAUUAUAAGUGUUAUAAUGCUUUUAUUUUUUUUUUUUUCCAUUUUUUUUUUUUUAUCCCAAAUUGUUGCUUAAGUGUUGUGGUUAACCACAACUUUUCUGCAUGUUAUCAUUACCCUGGAGAUAACAAAAUAGGUAAAAUUUUGUAUAUACAGGUUCCCUUCAGCUUAAUUUUUAGUAGCUAGCUACAAGAAACAUAACACUCAGAACAAACACAUCUGCUG